UAGCAGCACAUCAUGGUUUGCAGGCUCCCAGUACAGGUCCAAACCAUUAUGUGCUGUUACU
RNAcentral lists this microRNA precursor (61 nucleotides) under Lepisosteus oculatus (spotted gar). RNAcentral's name for it is "Loc-Mir-15-P1d_pre stem-loop". Lineage: Eukaryota; Metazoa; Chordata; Actinopteri; Semionotiformes; Lepisosteidae. The record is from RNAcentral.